Molecule: unclassified non-coding RNA, 3204 nt
Filed under: Leishmania donovani
Lineage: Eukaryota; Euglenozoa; Kinetoplastea; Trypanosomatida; Trypanosomatidae
Description: gene:LdHU3.24.1220(CDS-product:F-box_domain/F-box -like/Kelch_motif/Galactose_oxidase_central_domain_containi ng_protein_putative)
Source: RNAcentral
UCGUCUAUCAGUGGCUCGUGCAACAUGCCUGGGACAUCCUCGCUCGAACUGUCUGCAGCGCUAGAGCAGCGCAUCCUCGCCGCAUCGUCGGUGCUGCGCCUCACCCCCGACGCCUUCCUUAUUCGUCUCCUCUCGCAGCACUACAACACCCUCGGCGGCCUCCCACGCGAUCUGCUGCGCUACAUUCUCACCUUCCUAGACUACUCGACCAUCUCCGCCACUCUCACGCGCGUCUGCCGGCUCUGGCAGGACUGUGUGCUUGAGGAUCCGCUGCAUUUCUUCUCCCGUCUGCGUCAGAUGCACGGCAUCCAUCUCCUCGACCCAGUGCACGGCCUCUUCUACUUCCCGAGAGCGCUGAAGCGGGUGGCGAUGGAUUCCAGGGCGGGUGCGUCUUCGCCUCCGUCCGUGGCCAUCCCGGCUGCGUCAUCCUCCAGUACCAGCUCAGGCAGUCAUACUACGGCUGCCGCUUCAGGCGCCGGCGGCGCACACCAGGGGCUCAUUCCAGCCGUGAGCAGCCGCACCAGCGCGGCCAGCAGGGCGAUGCAGCAGCAGGACGCGAGCAGCGCCCAAGUGGCUCCAGCCUCCUCCUUCCUCACGGUCGACAUCCGCACGCAGAACACCAAGUCACUUCCUUGGGGUCACGUGCGCGAGGCGGUGCAGUGGGCCAUUGCGGGAGAGCGGAUGGUCUAUGGCGAGGUUCGCUCGCCUGGCCUGCAGCAGUCGGAAGACCCGGUGUGGUCGCAGGCGGCUGUUGUCGCCUAUGACCGUCGCAUCUACAUGUUUGGCGGGGAGACGUACGAAGGCGUCGUUCUCGACCGCGCGUACGAGUAUGACCCCAUGACGAGGCACUGGGGGGUUUUGCCUGCUCUCAGCGAGAAGCGGGCGGCCGCGAGUGCCGUGGCGUACGCUGGCCACAUCUUCGUGUUUGGCGGCUACAACACUGAGGGAGGUGUGCUGGACACGUACGAGGUCCUGGAGGUGAAGACGCGCACGUGGGCCUCGCAGACACGCCCGCCACAGUGCUUCUUCAAGCGGCAACAACAGCAGAAGCAGCGGCGGCAGCAGACGCACACGCAAGCAGAUGCCGCGGCGGCCCCAGAGACGGUGCAUCGACAUGAUUAUGUCUCGCAUAACGACAGCAAUGGUCAUGCCCGAAGAACUGCCUGGUUCUCCGGUGCGGCAUGGCCGUUUUCGGCAGCGCCACCGCCAGAGUGGACGGGUUCCGGUGGUCGAUCGGCGGUGUUGAGUCAGUACCGGAUGCCGAAGAAGGUGUGCGGCACCGCUGUCACCGUACACGGAGACGUCUUUCUAUUCGCCGGAGGCCACCAGAGCUGCAUCGCACCGGAGCAGACAGCCGUGAGCUACUCGGCGGUGAACAGCACGGUGAACACCCCGCAGCGCCUGCCGCGCGCUGCGUCGAUCAGCGUUGGCGGCCAACCGACGGCUGAGUCGUUUGUAUGGAUCUUCUGUCCCCGGACGGGCCGAUGGUGGACUCACGGCCCGCGCUUGCCCUCGCCGCGCGCGUUCGGCGCCGUGGCAGUGCUCGAGCUGCCCGUACUCGGCCCAUGCCUGUGCUACUUCGGCGGCUGCGCCAAGGCCGAUACGCCCGAGACCGCGAUGUUCUACAUUCCUCUCUGCGCCGCGGCGGAGACGCGGGCGCUCGCCGACGCUGAUUCGAAAGACUGCGCCGACGAUGCCGCCAGCAGAUCACCCGAUGCCCCCUCUCCUCCGAAAGCGGCCGUCGCCAAGGCGGCAAGGAAGAGGCAGGACGUCACGGGUGGAGAGGGCUCUGACGCAGCACAGUCGCCCGGAGCCACUGCGGCGACGACGGUUACCGGAAGGCGUCUGCGACGAACCGCUGCUACGCUAACGGGGGAGGAAGACGCGGCUGGCGCUGAGUCGCGGCGAGAGGCAGCGGGGGCGCAGGGUGCGGUGCGCAAAGGCUACCGAGGUGCCCGAGCAGCGCCGGUCGCUGCCGUGGGCAGCGAUGGCGUUGCCCACACUGACCCAUCUGAUGCAGAGCGCGGCGCAACAGGAGCGCCCUUCAAAGCCGCCACCGGCGAAAGCGAAGGCAGCGGCAGUUGCGGCCGUCGCACUGCGCAUGAGCGGCUGCAGGUCACGCCGACGACGCGCGUUCCAUCCAGGUACCUCCACCACAGCGGAGUGGAGUGCGUGCGCAACGUCAGUAGACGGGUGGCCAACGCAGACGCCGGCAGUGCCUUUGGAAGCGGCGGCGACGAUGGCGGCGCCGUCUUGCCCGGCGCAGAGGCGGACACGACAAUGAUAUGGCGGUGUUUCCGCAACCCGAAAAAGUUGCCGUGGCAGCGGUACGUGCGCAUCCCCAUCGGCGGCGCCUUUACCUCCGUCGUCGUCCUCGGCGCCCAGCACUCCCGCUCACUGGUGCUAACUGGCUUCUACCCUGCACCGAGCAUUGGUUACUGUAAGGUGAAUCACCUUCUCCCUCACGAUGCCUUUCUUCCGCUGCUGGGUGCACUCUCGUCGCCGCUGAGCGCACGGGCAGACACGGAGCGGCUUCCGCCAAUCGGCCAAGAUGUGACGGUCGCUCAUGCGCGGGGAAACACCCCACUACCACCGACGUCUUCGCCGCCGUCCAAUGCGGCUGGCUCGCCACCGGACGCCGUCAGGGCAGCAGCGGCCGCUUCUUCUUUCCCUACGCUGCAGUUGAACCCCAGCCUGCAUGACGAGGCCGCCGUGGCUGUUAAUCGCUGGCACCAAGAGCAAGAGUGGAACCACCAUCAGCGGCAAGAGAUACGGGAGAUCGUGCGCUCUGCCGCGCACGCCGCCACGAUGCGGCACCCACGCAAUCCACAGACUGCCGGCGAGGAGCACAAAUGGAGUCUCGCGCCAGUGCCGGAGGUGCGGGUCGCUAGCCUCAACGGAACCUCGCUCCUGCGCGUCUCGUGGAAGGUGCAGACGCUCAAUGCGAAGGUGAUUGUCGGCAUUGAAUAGAAGGCCGAUGGGCAAGAAGGAAGAGACGCGGGAGGACAGCGACGAAGGAACAAGGGGGCGGGGGUGGCCCAAGCCUCACUUAUGGACUCUGUGUCGCGUUGCUCUGCACGUGUAUGUGCGUGCGUGCGUGGGGGUGCGUCCCUUUAUGUGUAUAUUGUCUUCGCUUGCAGUGACAAAAUCAUGCCUGCCAUGCACCUCUGUGUGCGCGUGCGUGUGUGGAGGAGGGAAGCGUCG